UCAGGCCUAACACAUGCAAGUCGAGCGAUGAAACCCUUCGGGGUGGAUUAGCGGCGGACGGGUGAGUAACACGUGGGUAACCUGCCUCAAAGAGGGGAAUAGCCUCCCGAAAGGGAGAUUAAUACCGCAUAAUAUGUUUUAAUCGCAUGAUUGAAACAUCAAAGGAUUUUCUUCGGAGAUUCCACUUUGAGAUGGACCCGCGGCGCAUUAGCUAGUUGGUGAGGUAACGGCCCACCAAGGCAACGAUGCGUAGCCGACCUGAGAGGGUGAUCGGCCACAUUGGAACUGAGACACGGUCCAGACUCCUACGGGAGGCAGCAGUGGGGAAUAUUGCGCAAUGGGGGAAACCCUGACGCAGCAACGCCGCGUGAAUGAUGAAGGCCUUCGGGUUGUAAAGUUCUGUCUUCUGGGACGAUAAUGACGGUACCAGAGGAGGAAGCCACGGCUAACUACGUGCCAGCAGCCGCGGUAAU
RNAcentral lists this ribosomal RNA (473 nucleotides) under uncultured soil bacterium. Its description in RNAcentral is "bacterial SSU rRNA". It matches the Rfam family "Bacterial small subunit ribosomal RNA", at positions 42 to 524 of the family's 1533-position model. The record is from RNAcentral.